ACUCAAAUGAAUAGACGGGGGCCCGCACAAGCGGUGGAGCAUGUGGUUUAAUUCGACGCAACGCGAAGAACCUUACCUGGGUUUGACAUGUAUAGGACAGGUGAUGAAAAUCACCCUCUCUUCGGAGCUUAUACACAGGUGCUGCAUGGCUGUCGUCAGCUCGUGUCGUGAGAUGUUGGGUUAAGUCCCGCAACGAGCGCAACCCUCGCCCUUUGUUGCUACCGGGUCAUGCCGGGCACUCUGAGGGGACUGCCCCGGUGAACGGGGAGGAAGGUGGGGAUGACGUCAAGUCCUCAUGGCCUUUAUGUCCAGGGCUACACACGUGCUACAAUGGUCAGGACAAUGGGUCGCUCCCUCGCAAGGGGUUGCCAAUCUCAAAAACCUGAUCCUAGUUCGGAUGGUCGGCUGCAACUCGCUGGCCUGAAGCUGGAAUCGCUAGUAAUCGGAGAUCAGCACGCUCCGGUGAAUACGUUCCCGGGCCUUGCACACACCGCCCGU
Molecule: ribosomal RNA, 498 nt
Filed under: uncultured bacterium
Lineage: Bacteria
Description: partial 16S ribosomal RNA
Rfam family: Bacterial small subunit ribosomal RNA
Source: RNAcentral